RNAcentral lists this long non-coding RNA (1411 nucleotides) under Oryzias javanicus (javanese ricefish). Its description in RNAcentral is "lncRNA (ENSOJAG00000019633.1)". The record is from RNAcentral. Lineage: Eukaryota; Metazoa; Chordata; Actinopteri; Beloniformes; Adrianichthyidae.
CGCAGAGAGGGAGCGCCGCGGUGCUGACGCUCCUCCUGAUGCUCCUCCUGAUGCUCCUCCUGAUCCCAGGCGUCCGCUCUGAGGCGGUGGUCCGGCAGCCCGCCGUCGUCUCCGCCGCCGUGGGCGGGGACGUGCGUCUGCCCUGCGAGCUCCAUCUGUCCGGCGAGAGCCUGAAGACCACGCCCGUGUUCUACUGGAGUCUCUGGAGAGGAGAGGAGAAGGGGGUGGAGAGGUGGCCGACCAGAGCGACGGCCGGACGCCCACCGGGCAGCCGCUGCUGCUCAGAGGCGUCAGCUGGGCCGACGGCGGGAGCUACCUCUGUAAGGUCUCGCUCCGGACGGAUCAGAACGGAAGCUACAGGAAAAACGGGAACAAAACCAAACUCCUGCUUUACGAUGAGCUGCUCUUCAAGCGCUGCAUGAACCAGACGCAGCUCUGCUGCCAAGGGAACGUGACGCAGGACGCCGCCUUCUCGCUGUCCGUCCUCCAUGAUGGGCAGACGCUCCCAGCAGACGCAGCUGCAGUCGCAGACGCAGCUGCAGCUCAGGCCCAGGCCUUCACCUUGUCCAGGGUCGCCCCUCUGCAGGGGGCCGGGAGGUACGAGUGCCAGCUGCUCCUCGGAGGAGGUCUGAUGACGAAGAGCCUCCUCAUCCUCAAUGAGACCGAGGCCGGAGGGGGCGGAGCCAACACGACCUCCAGCCUUCCCUCUGUGGGCGUGAACCCGGAGCCGUGGCUGCUGUACGGGACGGUGCUGCUGGUCCCCGUGGCGGUGCUGCUGGUCCUGCUGACGGUGCAGAUGAGCAGCCGGCUGAAGGAACCUCCAGAGGAGGAGUGCUGAAGGAAUCUGUGGACCGACCGGUCAGUCUGAAACCAGGGGGGAGGAGCUUAACGUCCCGUUCUCCUCCUGAACCAGAUGAACUCUGACCUGUGAGACCUCUGACGGUCUCUGCUCUCAUCAAAGUGACUUCAGUUCCAGGAGGCAUCUUCACCCACGAGUCAGAAGCUCCAGCAGUAAACAUAAGAACGUUGUAAUGUUUCAAAAUUGUAAUGAGAAAAAUUAAAUUAUUAAGUCUACAUUUAAUGUGUUUAAACUCAAGAAUCCAUGUUUGUUUUUAUGUUUAUAAGAGAGAAAAAAGUAAAACAUCAAUAAAUGAACGAAUAAAAUAAUCCAAUAAAUGAUCCUUCAGUGAAGCAGCAUGGCGAGAACGAGACAGUAGACCCCGCCCACAUCGCCUCUCUCUGACCCUUCAGGAUGUUUUGAUUCGUUAAAAGUUUCUUAAACUUCACGUGUUUGAAUUUGCAGCAUGAACAGUUAAAUGUGUUUUCACCUAUACACAAUUUGAAUUAAAAACAUAUUUGUUUGUUAUUCUCUUAUGACUUUAAGUGUUAUGAUUUGAUAAGCCACGCCCAC